GAAAUAAUGAUAUCCUUCGAACGAUCCUUUAAUUCUAUGUAACCAUCAGGAUGCUUCACUGCUAAGUCCCCGCUUCGAAACCAACCCCCUCUAAAAGCAUCUUCUGUAGCUUUGCGAUCUUUUAAGUAACCAUUCAUUACUGUGUUUCCUCUAAUCAUCACCUCACCCAUUGUUUUUGCAUCUGAGGGUACACUCUUCAUUGAUUCAGAAUCCUUUACGUCUACAUCCUCCAAGCCAAGAUGGUUCACUCCUUGACGAGCCUGAAUAUUAGCCUGCUCAUCAGGUGAUAGAGAGUUCCAC
Molecule: unclassified non-coding RNA, 300 nt
Filed under: Hevea brasiliensis (rubber tree)
Lineage: Eukaryota; Viridiplantae; Streptophyta; Magnoliopsida; Malpighiales; Euphorbiaceae
Source: RNAcentral